UACGGAGGGUGCAAGCGUGAUCCGGAUUCACUGGGUUUAAAGGGUGCGUAGGCGGGUAAGUAAGUCCGUGGUGAAAUCUCUGAGCUUAACUCAGAAACUGCCGUGGAUACUAUUUGCCUUGAAUAUUGUGGAGGUGAGCGGAAUAUGUCAUGUAGCGGUGAAAUGCUUAGAUAUGACAUAGAACACCAAUUGCGAAGGCAGCUCACUACACAACCAUUGACGCUGAGGCACGAAAGCGUGGGGAUCAAACAGG
Molecule: ribosomal RNA, 253 nt
Filed under: uncultured bacterium
Lineage: Bacteria
Description: partial 16S ribosomal RNA
Rfam family: Bacterial small subunit ribosomal RNA
Source: RNAcentral